AUAGAGUUGGUGUUGGGCUUAUGGAAUUUCUGGGCCCUCAAAAUAAAAUCACCUAAUUUCUUUUAUUGUGUUCCUAAAAAGGCAACAACUUGCUUAAAAGCAGAGCCCCCCACCUUGCCCUCCACUCUUUCCCCUCAUGAGAGCUGAGAAUGAUGUCAGGAAGGACCAGCCAUUCGAGACCCUCCUUUCAGCAGUUCUCAGAGGGCAAGCAAAAUCGUGGAGUUUGUAUUUAAAUCGCCAGCACAACGCCUGACACAGAGAAUUUCUUGGUAAAGCUUGAUUGAAUUGAGUUGAAUAUCCAAACUUUCCAAUUUUGAAUGAGAUUAAGGAGGACAUUAAACUUUUGAAACAGUGCACUUUCAGGAGUGGGUUCCACAUUCAAGGCCUUGACUGUCCGGCGUGGGUUGAAGAGAAACCUGUUGAGAAAUUGGGCAAGAGGAAAAAAGUCUAAUUCUGCUGUGAGAAUUGAAGCUUACUGAUCAACAUAAAGCAACUACUGAUCAGAAGGAAUCCACGGACAUCAAAUUGAAAGCAAAAGCAGGGAACAUUAACAUGUGGAUUCUGAGGAAAGCACUUUGGGAAACACUCAUAAGGCCAGAAAAUUUCAAGAUGGUGGGUAACUGGCAACGACCCCAGAUGACAUUCUGCAGAGUGCUGGUGACCGAGUCUAGUUGGUCACAUGUAUCUGGUCUGCUACAGGCGUGCUGAGGGCGGAAGCAAAUGCCCGUUUGACUUCAUAAUGCCUGUUGCCACGACCUCUUCCAGAAACAUGACUGGUGAUGCUAGAACACUGGCGCCUUUCAGGGGCAACUCUGUGGUCUCCCAAUCCAGGUCUCUACUCCCUAGACCUGCUGUCGAACAACAGCAGCUCUGCUUGGGGACUAAUGGGAAGUGGGCACUAGUGGGCAAGUGUGUUCUUGAGAACACGCAACCUGAUCUGCCUGCUGAUAAAGCUCGAAGGUCACCCACUGAUGGGGGUGGUUGUGCCCAUGAGGUUGCGAAAAUGAAAAUGGUGCUGGGAGUUUGUUAAAUAAAGACAGUAGAAGCAGA
RNAcentral lists this long non-coding RNA (1050 nucleotides) under Equus asinus (donkey). RNAcentral describes it as "lncRNA (ENSEASG00005031900.1)". Lineage: Eukaryota; Metazoa; Chordata; Mammalia; Perissodactyla; Equidae. The record is from RNAcentral.